This 429-nucleotide ribosomal RNA is filed under the name uncultured bacterium. RNAcentral's name for it is "bacterial SSU rRNA". It matches the Rfam family "Bacterial small subunit ribosomal RNA", at positions 355 to 776 of the family's 1533-position model. The record is from RNAcentral.
UGGGGAAUUUUGGACAAUGGGGGCAACCCUGAUCCAGCAAUGCCGCGUGUGUGAAGAAGGCCUUCGGGUUGUAAAGCACUUUUGUCCGGGGUGAAACGGUAUGGGUUAAUAACCUGUGCUAAUGACAGUACCGGAAGAAUAAGCACCGGCUAACUACGUGCCAGCAGCCGCGGUAAUACGUAGGGUGCGAGCGUUAAUCGGAAUUACUGGGCGUAAAGCGUGCGCAGGCGGUUUUGUAAGACAGGCGUGAAAUCCCCGGGCUUAACCUGGGAAUUGCGUUUGUGACUGCAAGGCUAGAGUGUUUCAGAGGGGGGUAGAAUUCCACGUGUAGCAGUGAAAUGCGUAGAGAUGUGGAGGAAUACCGAUGGCGAAGGCAGCCCCCUGGGACAGCACUGACGCUCAUGCACGAAAGCGUGGGGAGCAAACAGG